Molecule: non-coding RNA, 1290 nt
Organism: Schizosaccharomyces pombe (fission yeast)
Lineage: Eukaryota; Fungi; Ascomycota; Schizosaccharomycetes; Schizosaccharomycetales; Schizosaccharomycetaceae
Source: the annotation of a GenBank genome assembly
UCUCUUACCUUUUCCAAAUCACUCAUAAUGGGGUGGAUUGAGCAAGUUGGUGGAAGUGAGGUCAACAUAUGUUUUAACUACCAAAACUUACUAUGCUAAACCGGUAACAUGAAAUUGUAUUAACAUAUAUUAUUUUUCUCGUUUAUAGUAUUUAUCCAGCCAAAAACUUUCUAUUUUAGAAAUAUUCUUCACGAAUAUUUGAGUUUCUGAUUCGACAGCUAAAACGUUAAAAUAGUCUUAUAACAAAUAGGCUUACCUGAAGAAUACAUGAUCCAUGGUGUUUUUUUUUCAUGAAGUACACUACUAGAGUCUAACCAAACCUGCUUUCCUCCUAUUGUUUUGUAAGAGCCGUCAUUCUGUAAAUGUGCGACGUUACGCACAAAACCAUCAAGUAGGCAUUUCAAAAUUUUGGAACAAUCACUGGAUGGUAAUCUUUGAGCAGUAGGUAUAGAAAAUUUAUUUAAAAAACGAACCAAAUGAGUGCGAAUGUCAAGGGCUUGGCGCAAAGUUUGAUAGUUCAAAUAAUUUUUCCUGCACCAUUGUAAAUCUUUUUUGUUACCGACAAAAGAUUCAAAAACUAAAUGUUAAUACACUUUUAAACUUUAUUAAUGAAGCAUACCAUUUAAUGCGGUAAUGAUGUCCCCUUCAUUUGCAAAAAAAGAAGAAUGGGCAACGAAGGCAUCAUUCUUUGAUGAACUUGUGGGAUUAUAAAAUACUUCGCCUGCUGUAAGUAUUGAAGCAAUUGAAAGAAUUUCAUGAGUGCAACCAAAUUGGUUGGAAGUAAGUAACUAAUGAUGGGUUAGCGUGUACUUUAUUUCCUAUAUGGGAGUACGUACAGCUUUGGAGAUGUUUGCAUCCAAGAAUGAGUUGGAAAUUUGUAUGCCAAGUGGGUCUGUCAAAUUUCCACUUUCGUCCAAGACACCUAAAAGAUAGAGGUCCUUCAAAAAAAUUAGUUGUUUGCCGGCUAUAAUAAAAUUCACAAACCUCUAGAGCCGCCAUAAGGUGAACUGUGGGAGGACGGACAAAAAAGGGAAACUGAAGUAUGUUUUUUAGCCCUAAACCUUUCAAAAAUAACACCAACGGUGACAUAUCGCAAUUUAAGAUGUCUGCUUCAAAUUCUUCUUUCAUCAAGCUGUAAGCUUUUUCAGUAUAUAGACGGAACACCUUUCCCCUCAUUGUCCUUCCAGCUCUUCCACUUCUCUGUAUAGCACUUGACUUAGAUAUAGGCACGUUAAUCAAUUUUGAAGUCCUUGUAUACGGGUUGUAUAUCCGUUGUUUAUUAAAACCUGA